RNAcentral lists this ribosomal RNA (548 nucleotides) under Streptomyces violaceorubidus. Its description in RNAcentral is "bacterial SSU rRNA". It matches the Rfam family "Bacterial small subunit ribosomal RNA", at positions 96 to 657 of the family's 1533-position model. The record is from RNAcentral. Lineage: Bacteria; Bacillati; Actinomycetota; Actinomycetes; Kitasatosporales; Streptomycetaceae.
UGGCGAACGGGUGAGUAACACGUGGGCAAUCUGCCCUGCACUCUGGGACAAGCCCUGGAAACGGGGUCUAAUACCGGAUACUGAUCCUCGCAGGCAUCUGUGAGGUUCGAAAGCUCCGGCGGUGCAGGAUGAGCCCGCGGCCUAUCAGCUUGUUGGUGAGGUAAUGGCUCACCAAGGCGACGACGGGUAGCCGGCCUGAGAGGGCGACCGGCCACACUGGGACUGAGACACGGCCCAGACUCCUACGGGAGGCAGCAGUGGGGAAUAUUGCACAAUGGGCGAAAGCCUGAUGCAGCGACGCCGCGUGAGGGAUGACGGCCUUCGGGUUGUAAACCUCUUUCAGCAGGGAAGAAGCGAAAGUGACGGUACCUGCAGAAGAAGCGCCGGCUAACUACGUGCCAGCAGCCGCGGUAAUACGUAGGGCGCGAGCGUUGUCCGGAAUUAUUGGGCGUAAAGAGCUCGUAGGCGGCUUGUCACGUCGGUUGUGAAAGCCCGGGGCUUAACCCCGGGUCUGCAGUCGAUACGGGCAGGCUAGAGUUCGGUAGGGG